RNAcentral lists this ribosomal RNA (312 nucleotides) under Triticum aestivum (bread wheat). Its description in RNAcentral is "partial small subunit ribosomal RNA". The record is from RNAcentral. Lineage: Eukaryota; Viridiplantae; Streptophyta; Magnoliopsida; Poales; Poaceae.
AUGUUGUCUCGGACAGAUGCCAAGCUCGGCGUUGCCCUCCUGCUCCAGCUGCUCGUCCCGCCACAGGCGCCUGACCGCCUCAGCCUCUCAUGCCGCCCGCGCCCCUGCAGAUCCUCCAUCAGCACGGCCUGCGGCAUCACCGCCUCGUACACCGCCUCCUCCGUCUCCGUCCGCGCCGCCACUAGGCUCGCCCUCGGGGUCGCCGCCACGCCCCGCCUCCACGCCAUGGCGGGGAGCAGCCCGGGCUGGCCGCCACGAUGGGCCUGGUCGGCCGAGUGGUGGAGGAAGGCUGCGCGCCCGUACGGCCUGUAG